UUUCAGGGUUGAUUUUGCGCUCGUCACAUGGGCAAAACGGGCCAGCGGGCAGCCUACUUUUAAUGAAACCUCAUCCAAGGGCAUGAUGAAAUGUCCGGAGUGAAACGUCAUCAAAAAAGGUGCCUGUGACAUCCAGUAUUGUUGGGUGCAAAUGAUGGGAAUUCCAUGUUUGAGCAGACAUAUUGUACGCCUGAUGCAAUUUCCAAUGGAAUAUGCUGGUGAGUAGGCUGGUGGAAUGAACAACUUUAUUCCACGGAAAAGCUCAGCAGGUCUGGCAGCAUCGGCGGAGAAGAAAAGAGUUGACGUUUCGAGUCCUCAUGACCAUUCGACAGUUUUUCCAGAAAACAGUGGAAAUACUCAGCCAGCCAGGCAGCAGCUAUGGAGAGAGAAACAUUUCAGGACAAUGACCUGUCGUUACAACUGGAAAACAUUUCUUUUCUGCAGCAAACAUUUAUUUGUGAAGACAAUGUCCCUUUAAAAUCCUAGCAUGAUUCUCUACUACUACUUCUUUAUAUUUCUUUUUGUCUCCUUUUUUGGUUGUACAAAUAUGGAGAACAGUUGUGCUUUGUAAAAUAGAGGAUUAUUAUUCUUUGAACAGUUUGUUGAACAGAGUGGAAGCAUUGUUUUAAUGAGUUUUGUUGAAACGGGAUGGGUGGGUAUGAGUUAUUUUGCUUUGUUUAUAAACAGAUGUAAGGGCCAAAGAUUAACUUUAAGCAAUAGGAAUUUCUCAUUGCAGCCAACAAUUCACCAGAGUUUAAAUGAAAUUAGAAAAUGCUGUCAGACCUGCCCAGUUUUUCCAGCAUUUUCUGUUUUUAUUUCAGAUUUC
Molecule: long non-coding RNA, 826 nt
Organism: Carcharodon carcharias (great white shark)
Lineage: Eukaryota; Metazoa; Chordata; Chondrichthyes; Lamniformes; Lamnidae
Exons: 3
Source: RefSeq, a predicted model, not a curated record